RNAcentral lists this long non-coding RNA (852 nucleotides) under Homo sapiens (human). RNAcentral describes it as "non-protein coding lnc-PRDM9-21:1". Lineage: Eukaryota; Metazoa; Chordata; Mammalia; Primates; Hominidae. The record is from RNAcentral.
CAAUGAUUGAGUCAGUCAUGUGUAUGUAAUAAGGCCUCCAUAAAAACCGAAGAGGAUGGGGUUUGCAGAGCUUCUAGGCUGGUGAGCACUUGGAUGUGCUGGAGGCAUCCAGAGGGUGGAGCACGUGGAGAGGGCAUGAAUGCUCAGUGCACCUUCCCUCAUACCUUGCCUUAUACAGCGUUUCCAUCUGGCUGCUGUUGAGUUUUAUUCUUUAUAACAAUAUGCUAACCCUAAGCAAAGUUUUCCUGAGUUCUGUGAGCCAUUCUAGCAAAUGGUGGAACCUGAGAAAGGGGACAUGGGAAUCUCUGACUUACAGCCAGUCAGCCCGAAGCACAGGAUACCAAAAUCAUCAUACCAGAGACAUGAAUCUCCCUCAUUUGGCAUCCCAGGAGGCCUGGAUCAGUUUCACUGUGAAUGCUCCGCCGCUCAACCACACAAGCACCCUUCCUCCAGGCCCAGGGGAUACUGCAGAAGAGGCUGAAGGUUGCACUAUUGGCUUCCCUACUUUUGAGGUUUUGGGACUCCGACUGGCUUCCUGGCUCCUCACCUUGCAGAUGGUCUAUUGUGGGACCUCAUCUUGUGAUCAUGUCUCAGUAUGUUGCUCAGACUGGUCUUGAACUCCUGGCCUCAAGUGAUCCUCCCACCUCAGCCUCUUGAGUAGCUGGGACUACAGUUGCAAGCCAUCCUGUCUGGCUAGUUAUCUUUAAUUAAUGACAUUUGUUAAAGUAACACAAAAAUCCUAGAAACAUUUGCCUGUUGAAACUUUCUGAUAAUUUGAAUGAAGUAAAGUUUGGAGUCUCUGUCUCAUUGAAAAUACUCAAGGUUAAUAUAAUAAAAACAGCAAAGCAGUAA